GUCGCAGUAGCUCAGCUGGAUAGAGCAUUCGCCUUCUAAGCGAACGGUCAGGGGUUCGAAUCCCUUCUGCGACG
This is a non-coding RNA of Enterococcus sp. 6C8_DIV0013, 74 nucleotides long. The record is from Rfam. NCBI's taxonomy places the organism in Bacteria, Bacillati, Bacillota, Bacilli, Lactobacillales, Enterococcaceae.